Long non-coding RNA from Amborella trichopoda, 972 nucleotides. RefSeq lists it as uncharacterized. Lineage: Eukaryota; Viridiplantae; Streptophyta; Magnoliopsida; Amborellales; Amborellaceae. The record is from RefSeq and is a predicted model, not a curated record.
UUUAUCUUUAUUAUAAAAAGGUCAAUGAAUCCCAUGGAUUUUUGUUCCCUUUCAGAUCAAUAAAUCCCAUGCCUUCCAUGCAUUUCGGUCAUUAAGAUCCCUGUUCACAUGAAUUGCUGAAGAAAACACUGAUAUUCAUCCACAUGAAUUGCCUUUUAGAAUUUAUUAUUAUUAUUUUUUGGUUGUUGGGGUGGUAGAAAAUGUUGGUCUUUUCAGCCUUACAGUUCAUGGCUGAUUUAGUGGUCGCAGGCAUGUCUUUGUUUUUGGGUUUGUGGGUUUUUGGAUUUGUUGCUUGCAUUCUCUGCUCAGCUGCUUUCUUGCAAAGUGCCAGGGAUGUCUCUUAAAAGAGGCAUGGAUGAGUUCCUCAAUUUCACUCUAGCAAGCUCACUGUUCGUGCUUCCGGUGGCUAGACUCUUAACCUGUCAACAGCCACAUUUGAUACUUAAAGACUGACAGCUCAUCAUCAGAAUGUCUCCUCUUUCCUGUCGGUGCUCCCUGUGACCAGCCUCUGAACCUGUCACGGCCAUGCUUGAAAUUAUAGGUAGAACCGAAGCAGCUUGUACAGACCAUUGAGGUCCAUUUUCUACCACAAUCGGUCAUUUUUCUACCACCCGUAAAUCAAGAGUGGUAUUGUUCGGAGGUUGCUUAAAAUGGUGAGACAAGAGGCACAGAAUUAAGCCUGCAUCUUCAAAAAAGCUGGAGUAGAAUAGCAAGAAUGGUUGACACUGUUAUGUGGCUCUGCAAGGAAUGAAGAACUCUAAAUUUCAUUCAUAAUUUUGAGAGAAACUAAUCCUUCUUUUUAUUUUUAGAUUCAUAAUUUUGUUGGGGGCAAGGAAUGAAGAACUAUGGAUUUCAUUCAUAAUUUUGACAGAGAAACUGAUCCUUCUUUUUAUUUUUAAAUUCAUAAUUUUGUUGAGAUUCUGUUUUCUACUUAUUUUUACUUAAUAAGAAUCUCUCUCCCAUUAUAUAUCA